GAAAUGCGAUAAGUAAUGUGAAUUGCAGAAUUCAGUGAAUCAUCGAAUCUUUGAACGCACCUUGCGCUCCUUGGUAUUCCUUGGAGCAUGCCUGUUUGAGUAUCAUGAAAUCUUCAAAGUAAAUCUUUUGUUAACUCAAUUGGUUUCUACUUUGGUAUUGGAGGUCUUUGCAGCUUCACACCUGCUCCUCUUUGUUCAUUAGCUGGAUCUCAGUGUUAUGCUUGGUUCCACUCGGCGUGAUAAGUUAUCUAUCGAUGAGGACACUGUAAAAGGUGGCCAAGGUAAAUUCAGAUGAACCGCUUCUAAUAGUCCAUUGACUUGGACAAUACUUUUAUGAUCUGAUCUCAAAUCAGGUAGGACUACCCGCUGAACUUAAGC
This 378-nucleotide unclassified non-coding RNA is filed under the name plant metagenome. RNAcentral describes it as "partial contains 5.8S ribosomal RNA, internal transcribed spacer 2, and large subunit ribosomal RNA". The stretch from base 1 to 105 matches the Rfam family "5.8S ribosomal RNA", at positions 50 to 154 of the family's 154-position model. The record is from RNAcentral.